CUCGCGGAGAGGGACCAGCCCACAGAGGGCGCCCAGCGGAAGAGGCCCAGAGAGCCCGGGCGCUGGGGGCAAGUCUAGGGGAAGGUACUGAAUGCCAGAUGAACAGGGCGGAUGGCAUUGACCCCGGGAGAAGCACCAGCAGUAGACUUGCAGAUGUGUCAUCUAUUUGAUCAUAGAAAAAGCUCAAG
Molecule: long non-coding RNA, 188 nt
Filed under: Fukomys damarensis (Damara mole-rat)
Lineage: Eukaryota; Metazoa; Chordata; Mammalia; Rodentia; Bathyergidae
Description: lncRNA (ENSFDAG00000031871.1)
Source: RNAcentral